GGAAGCUUGCUCUGUGACGCCACUUGGAAGGGACCCGCUCACAGUGGCGGAAGUGGACUAAGACAUCAUGUUGCCUCAAGUUUAAUUGGAAAUCGUGUGCCUUGUAAAGAAUGGACACUCAGUAGAUGCUUAUUGAUUAACCUGUUGGUUGAGGAUAACUCGCUAACUUUUCUGAGCUUUGUUGGAAAAACUAGACAGGGGUCUCACUAUGUGAUGCACGAUGUUCUCAAACUCCCUGGCCUCAAGCGAUCCUCCUGCCUUGAUCUCCUAAAGUGCUGGGAUUACAGCAGGUCACUGUAUCUCUAUGCAUUACAGAAAAUGACUAGUUAAAAACUUGUCAAGAGAUGGGGUUUUACUAUGUUGGAGAAGCUAGUCUCAAACUCCUGGGCUCAAGUCAUCCUCCCGCCUCAGCCUGGUUAUUGAGAUUACAGACGUUGAGGGCGCAUGACACUCGUGGUGGCCAUAUACACAGAGGUCAGGGAGAGAAAGGGACCUGUGGGCCAGUACCCUUAUUGGGUCCAGAGAGUUAUCCAAACAAGUUUCUAGCAGGGAGUUUAAUUGGUGGAUUUAAAGCAAGCAGGUAUGAGUUCCAGGGGGCCACACUG
Molecule: long non-coding RNA, 605 nt
Filed under: Pongo abelii (Sumatran orangutan)
Lineage: Eukaryota; Metazoa; Chordata; Mammalia; Primates; Hominidae
Description: lincRNA
Source: RNAcentral